This 253-nucleotide ribosomal RNA is filed under the name uncultured bacterium. Its description in RNAcentral is "partial 16S ribosomal RNA". It matches the Rfam family "Bacterial small subunit ribosomal RNA", at positions 524 to 776 of the family's 1533-position model. The record is from RNAcentral.
GACGGAAGGUGCAAGCGUUGCUCGGAAUCACUGGGCGUAAAGGGUGCGUAGGCGGCUUGGUAGGUCUGGUGUGAAAGCCCCGGGCUCAGCCCGGGAAGGGCACUAGAAACUGCCAAGCUAGAGUGCCGGAGGGGAGAGUGGAAUUCCUGGUGUAGCGGUGAAAUGCGCAGAUAUCGGGAAGAACACCCGUGGCGAAGGCGGUUCUCUGGGACGGUACUGACGCUGAGACGCGAAAGCGUGGGGAGCGAACAGG